Molecule: ribosomal RNA, 272 nt
Filed under: uncultured bacterium
Lineage: Bacteria
Description: partial 16S ribosomal RNA
Rfam family: Bacterial small subunit ribosomal RNA
Source: RNAcentral
UACGAGGGGAGCUAGCGUUAUUCGGAAUUACUGGGCGUAAAGCGCACGUAGGCGGCUUUGUAAGUUAGAGGUGAAAGCCCCAGAGCUCAACUCUGGAAUUGCCUUUAAGACUGCAUCGCUUGAAUCCAGGAGAGGUGAGUGGAAUUCCGAGUGUAGAGGUGAAAUUCGUAGAUAUUCGGAAGAACACCGGUGGCGAAGGCGGCUCACUGGACUGGUAUUGACGCUGAGGUGCGAAAGCGUGGGGAGCAAACAGGAUUAGAUACCCGGGUAGU